This 467-nucleotide ribosomal RNA is filed under the name uncultured bacterium. RNAcentral's name for it is "partial 16S ribosomal RNA". It matches the Rfam family "Bacterial small subunit ribosomal RNA", at positions 28 to 506 of the family's 1533-position model. The record is from RNAcentral.
GACGAACGCUGGCGGCGUGCUUAACACAUGCAAGUCGAACGGAAAGGCCCUGCUUUUGUGGGGUGCUCGAGUGGCGAACGGGUGAGUAACACGUGAGUAACCUGCCCUUGACUUUGGGAUAACUUCAGGAAACUGGGGCUAAUACCGGAUAGGAGCUCCUGCUGCAUGGUGGGGGUUGGAAAGUUUCGGCGGUUGGGGAUGGACUCGCGGCUUAUCAGCUUGUUGGUGGGGUAGUGGCUUACCAAGGCUUUGACGGGUAGCCGGCCUGAGAGGGUGACCGGCCACAUGGGGACUGAGAUACGGCCCAGACUCCUACGGGAGGCAGCAGUGGGGAAUAUUGCACAAUGGGCGGAAGCCUGAUGCAGCAACGCCGCGUGAGGGAUGACGGCCUUCGGGUUGUAAACCGCUUUCGCCUGUGACGAAGCGUGAGUGACGGUAAUGGGUAAAGAAGCACCGGCUAACUACGU